This 561-nucleotide long non-coding RNA is filed under the name Triticum aestivum (bread wheat). RNAcentral's name for it is "long non-coding RNA (TAES_LNC027582)". Lineage: Eukaryota; Viridiplantae; Streptophyta; Magnoliopsida; Poales; Poaceae. The record is from RNAcentral.
UUUUUUUUUUGGCUGAAGUUUUCUUUUGAUUGUCAAGAGUUUUUUUUGAGAGAGAGAUUGGUUGUCAAGAGUUAUGAGCACCACCAAUCUCACUUUUUUUGCCAGUCCCUUUUAAGACGUAUUUCCAUCAGUUAUCACAAACCUGAGGGAACUUCCUUUCUCAAAAAAAUAUGCUUAUAAUAUUUUCUUUUUCUUCUUCACGAUUUGCAGCCUGUGCUAUAUUUGUCUCAGCACUGCAUGUGCCAUUUUGUUUUUUCUACAGUUGCGCGUGUGCAUCAUUUACCAAAAUGCUGGAAACAAGACUGCAGGAAAUACGCAAACUUCCAAAGCACGCUUUCUUCAUCAGUAAGUACCUUCCAUACAUGGCCACACAGUGGCGCUAAAGGCCUGGACGGCCCAUACUCGAAAAGACCCAUUGGUCCUCCCCUUCCCUCCGCUCACACGGUCACACUCACACCGCAAACGGCAAACCCAGAACCGCCGCCCAGAGCGAGGCCGCAGCGGCGGCGACGGCCCACGAGACGACGCCGUGGUGCGCGGCCGCGGCGUGCGGUGGCUGCG